GACGAACGCUGGCGGCGUGCCUAAUGCAUGCAAGUCGCACGCGCUGCUUUCGGGCAGUGAGUGGCGCACGGCUGAGUAGCACGUGGGAACAUGCCCUUCAGUGGGGGAUAACACCGCGAAAGCGGUGCUAAUCCCGCAUACGCUCGGGUGACCGAGGAAAGCCGUAAGGCGCUGGUGGAGUGGCCCGCGGCCCAUCAGGUAGGUUGGGGGUACGGGUACGUCCU
This 224-nucleotide ribosomal RNA is filed under the name uncultured bacterium. Its description in RNAcentral is "partial 16S ribosomal RNA". It matches the Rfam family "Bacterial small subunit ribosomal RNA", at positions 28 to 267 of the family's 1533-position model. The record is from RNAcentral.